Molecule: long non-coding RNA, 877 nt
Organism: Vigna radiata var. radiata (mung bean)
Lineage: Eukaryota; Viridiplantae; Streptophyta; Magnoliopsida; Fabales; Fabaceae
Exons: 2
Source: RefSeq, a predicted model, not a curated record
AUGCCUGAGAAACCCUAACAAUUGCUAUAAAUUCAGGGUCUUGCGACAAACCCUUGGCGCCGUUGUUGGGGGCUCUUGUAUCGUUUCCAUCUUUCUGCUUUGCACUGUAAUUUGUUUCAUUUUCAGUGUUUGAGUUUUGUUUUGUUUUAACGCUUUCAUAAGAGAGUUCACGGUGAUGACCACGUAAAAUUCAAGCUCAACAGACCGGAAUGCACGGCUUUCUCUUUUGGAGAUUGCUUUGCGUGUCGACUAUCCCGCUGAACUGAGUGAUCUCUUUUGUUCUUUAAGAAAUCAAAUGAUGUUUUCUCUUUUCAAUCAUGCUUUAAUUUCAAAUUAUUAUUAUUAUUUCUGUUAUUAUUGACGUAUGUUGGGGGAAAAGUUUUCACGAUGAGGAUAGCGAAGCUCCCUCUUCCAAAAUUUCAAUUUGAGGAAGAACGCUGGCUGAAUCGAACCAUAAACCUUACGGCCACCACUGAGUGAUAACUUUCCUCUACUAUUCAGUUUGUUUUUUCCUGUAUGCUUUGUUAAAUUCAUUAUUUGAUCGCAUCUGGUUCAAUCUCGUGCCAUCUAUUUGUGAACAAUUCGACCAGUGCACAGUGUGUGAGGCGGUGGAUGUGCAACCGCCUUGGAAAAGGCCAAUAUGGCAGUGAUGUGAGGAGUGGGACCGAUGGAUGAUCCGAAGAGUGACAGUUCAAGUAUCUUUAUAGAUGUAAGCUUUGUACAUAAAGCCUCCACCAGAAAGCUGAACGAUCGUGAAAUGUUAGGUCUUUCGGUUCGCACGGAGGCUAAGAGAAAGGGUUCGACCCACGGGAUCUUUUGAAGGAAAUGAACAAUUUAUUUUUAUUAUUUUCAUUUCUCAUCAUAGAUUCCACAUUUU